RNAcentral lists this ribosomal RNA (450 nucleotides) under uncultured bacterium. Its description in RNAcentral is "partial 16S ribosomal RNA". It matches the Rfam family "Bacterial small subunit ribosomal RNA", at positions 354 to 796 of the family's 1533-position model. The record is from RNAcentral.
GUGGGGAAUCUUCCGCAAUGGACGAAAGUCUGACGGAGCAACGCCGCGUGAGUGAUGAAGGUCUUCGGAUUGUAAAGCUCUGUUAAUCGGGACGAAAGAGCCUAGUGUGAAUAAUGCUAGGAAGUGACGGUACCGGAAUAGAAAGCCACGGCUAACUACGUGCCAGCAGCCGCGGUAAUACGUAGGUGGCAAGCGUUGUCCGGAAUUAUUGGGCGUAAAGCGCGCGCAGGCGGAUCUGCCAGUCUGCCUUAAAAGUUCGGGGCUUAACCCCGUGAUGGGAUGGAAACUACAGAUCUAGAGUAUCGGAGAGGAAAGUGGAAUUCCUAGUGUAGCGGUGAAAUGCGUAGAUAUUAGGAAGAACACCAGUGGCGAAGGCGACUUUCUGGACGAAAACUGACGCUGAGGCGCGAAAGCCAGGGGAGCGAACGGGAUUAGAAACCCCUGUAGUCC